AGUUUGAUCUUGGUUCAGGACGAACGCUGGCGGCGUGCUUAACACAUGCAAGUCGAACGAUGAAGCCCAGCUUGCUGGGUGGAUUAGUGGCGAACGGGUGAGUAAUACGUGAGUAACCUGCCUUUAACUCUGGGAUAAGCCUUGGAAACGAGGUCUAAUACCGGAUACGACCAGUUCCCGCAUGGGAUGCUGGUGGAAAGGGAUAUGUACUGGUUUUAGAUGGGCUCACGGCCUAUCAGCUUGUUGGUGGGGUAAUGGCUCACCAAGGCGACGACGGGUAGCCGGCCUGAGAGGGUGACCGGCCACACUGGGACUGAGACACGGCCCAGACUCCUACGGGAGGCAGCAGUGGGGAAUAUUGCACAAUGGGCGCAAGCCUGAUGCAGCGACGCCGCGUGAGGGAUGACGGCCUUCGGGUUGUAAACCUCUUUCAGCAGGGAAGAAGCGAAAGUGACGGUACCUGCAG
RNAcentral lists this ribosomal RNA (466 nucleotides) under Rothia nasimurium. RNAcentral describes it as "bacterial SSU rRNA". It matches the Rfam family "Bacterial small subunit ribosomal RNA", at positions 10 to 484 of the family's 1533-position model. Lineage: Bacteria; Bacillati; Actinomycetota; Actinomycetes; Micrococcales; Micrococcaceae. The record is from RNAcentral.